This 1806-nucleotide ribosomal RNA is filed under the name Triticum aestivum (bread wheat). RNAcentral's name for it is "partial small subunit ribosomal RNA". Lineage: Eukaryota; Viridiplantae; Streptophyta; Magnoliopsida; Poales; Poaceae. The record is from RNAcentral.
AUGCAGCAGGGAAGGCCUCUUGCAUACUAUAGUUCCUCCUUGUGUCCAAGAAACCAAGCUCUCUCCACUUACGAAAAGGAAGCCUUGGCCAUACUGGAAGCCCUUAAAAGAUGGAGGCACUAUUUGCUUGGAAAUGAGCUUCUAAUUAAAACUGAUCAGCAAUCCCUCAAAUUUAUUACUGAUCAGAAAAUAACUGAAGGUGUGCAUCAUAAAUUGAUGAUGAAAUUACUGGAAUUCAACUUUAAAAUUCAGUACAAGAAGGGCAUUACAAACAAGGUUGCUGAUGCAUUGUCAAGAAUUCUUCCCUCCUGCAGAGCAAUAUCCAUAGUCACUCCUGUAUGGGCACAAGAACUGAUAGAAGGAUAUCACAAAGACCCAAUUUCUAAAGGAAUAUUGGAAAAAUUGCUGUUACACCCUGAAAGCUGCCUGCCUGAUUACACCAUCACAUCUGGUAUCAUCAGAUACAAAGGAAGAAUAUUGGUUGGAAAUUUUUCUAACUUAAGAAACAGAUUGAUCACUGCUCUGCACAGUUCUCCAAUUGGGGGCCACUCUGGAACAAGGGCAACUUAUCAUAGAAUUAAGAAUAUUUUCUACUGGCCUGGUAUGAAAGCAGCUGUGGAAACAUUCAUUGCAGCUUGCCCCAUUUGUCAAAGAGCCAAGCAUGAAAAUUGUUUGCAGCAUGGGUUGUUAGACCCCUUACCCAUAGCUGACAUGGCAUGGCAGCACAUCACCAUGGAUUUCAUAGAAGGGCUGCCAAAUUCUGAAGGGAAGGAGGUAAUACUGGUGGUAGUGGAUAGAUUCACUAAGUAUGCACAUUUCAUACCAUUACCACACCCUUAUAAUGUGAUGAGUGUAGCUCAAGCAUUUAUGGAUAAUAUCAUUAGAUUGCAUGGACCUCCCAAGCUCAUUAUAUCAGACAGGGACAGGAUCUUCACUAGCAAGUUAUGGAAAGACAUCUUUGCUGCUAUGAAAAGUGAGUUGAGAUACAGUACUUCCUACCAUCCACAAACAGAUGGGCAAACAGAGAGAGUUAACCAAUGUGUGGAAACAUACCUCAGAUGUAUGACCACCACUCAGCCCAAGAAAUGGUGUUCCUGGUUACCUUUAGCCGAGUUUUGGUACAACACUACCUAUCACACUGCUUUGAAAAUGUCCCCUUUCCAGGCCUUGUAUGGUUUUCCUCCACCCAUGAUAUCUGAACUAGCCAUUCCUGGCCCUGAAGACGAGGAGGCUCAGAAUUUCUUGGCUGCUAAACAGGAUAUGUUGGAACAAUUAAAAGAAAACUUGCAACAAGCUCAGAACAGGAUGAAGAAGUAUGCUGACUUAAAGAGGAGUGAAAGAGUUUUUGAAGUGGGAGAUAUGGUGUAUUUAAAGAUGGCACCAUACAGAUUAGCAGCUUUUGGAUUUAGAGGAGCACUGAAACUACAAAACAAGUACUAUGGCCCUUUUCUGAUCACGCAAAAGAUUGGCAAGUUAGCUUACAAAUUGCAAUUUCCUGCACAUGUGCAGAUUCAUCCAGUUUUCCAUGUCAGUCAGUUGAAAAAGCACAUUGGUGCUAAAUCCAUUCCCAGUCCAAACCUACCUAUGGUAGCAACUGAUGGUACAAUCAAAACGGGACCUGCAGCAGUGCUUCAAGUCAGACAAAUACCGAGGCACAAUCUGCCGGUUGUUCAGUGGUUCAUUCAAUGGGAAAAUCUCUCUCCAGAAGAGGCAACAUGGGAGGAUGCGGAUUUCAUCAAGUAUACAUUUCCAGCCUUUUUCCGAGCAGUCACUGAAGAGUGGCGUGCAAACCAACAAGCAUCGUGA